UACUCCCAGAAUUCAGGUCGUGCUUGU
RNAcentral lists this non-coding RNA (27 nucleotides) under Homo sapiens (human). The record is from RNAcentral. Lineage: Eukaryota; Metazoa; Chordata; Mammalia; Primates; Hominidae.